AUUAAAUUGAGAGUUUGAUCCUGGCUCAGGACGAACGCUGGCGGCGUGCUUAAC
This 54-nucleotide ribosomal RNA is filed under the name Finegoldia magna. RNAcentral's name for it is "partial 16S ribosomal RNA". The record is from RNAcentral. Lineage: Bacteria; Bacillati; Bacillota; Tissierellia; Tissierellales; Peptoniphilaceae.